CAUCUCCAUGCCUCCUUUCAUCAUUUUCUUCCUUUCCACGCCUAAAAGUUGGGUGCUCUCUCUUCCACAUGCCUAGAAGAAGUUCUGGUGACUUAGAGAUUAAAGAUCAAGGAGAAGAAGAAGAAGGCUGUAAAUCAAAGAGUUGAUCUCACAGUUAAGAUCAAAGGAGUUGAUCAAAGUCUUCAAGAUCAAGGUUCUUCUUAAGAAGAAGAAUCUUAUACGAGAAGAAAAGGUUUGAGAUCGAUUUUGAUGGAUAC
Molecule: long non-coding RNA, 257 nt
Filed under: Elaeis guineensis (African oil palm)
Lineage: Eukaryota; Viridiplantae; Streptophyta; Magnoliopsida; Arecales; Arecaceae
Description: long non-coding RNA (EGUI_LNC043793)
Source: RNAcentral